GACGAACGCUGGCGGCGUGCUUAACACAUGCAAGUCGAACGGAAAGGCCCUGCUUUUGUGGGGUGCUCGAGUGGCGAACGGGUGAGUAACACGUGAGUAACCUGCCCUUGACUUUGGGAUAACUUCAGGAAACUGGGGCUAAUCCCGGAUAGGAGCUCCUGCUGCAUGGUGGGGGUUGGAAAGUUUCGGCGGUUGGGGAUGGACUCGCGGCUUAUCAGCUUGUUGGUGGGGUAGUGGCUUACCAAGGCUUUGACGGGUAGCCGGCCUGAGAGGGUGACCGGCAACAUUGGGACUGAGAUACGGCCCAGACUCCUACGGGAGGCAGCAGUGGGGAAUAUUGCACAAUGGGCGGAAGCCUGAUGCAGCAACGCCGCGUGCGGGAUGACGGCCUUCGGGUUGUAAACCGCUUUCGCCUGUGACGAAGCGUGAGUGACGGUAAUGGGUAAAGAAGCACCGGCUAACUACGUG
This 468-nucleotide ribosomal RNA is filed under the name uncultured bacterium. RNAcentral's name for it is "partial 16S ribosomal RNA". It matches the Rfam family "Bacterial small subunit ribosomal RNA", at positions 28 to 507 of the family's 1533-position model. The record is from RNAcentral.